UACGGCUCAGUAACACGUAGUCAACCUAACCUAUGGACGGGAAUAACCUCGGGAAACUGAGUAUAAUGCCCGAUAGAACAUUAUGCCUGGAAUGGUUUAUGUUCCAAAUGAUUUAUCGCCGUAGGAUGGGACUGCGGCCUAUCAGUUUGUUGGUGAGGUAAUGGCCCACCAAGACUAUUACAGGUACGGGCUCUGAGAGGAGUAGCCCGGAGAUGGGUACUGAGACACGGACCCAGGCCCUAUGGGGCGCAGCAGGCGAGAAAACUUUGCAAUGUGCGAAAGCACGACAAGGUUAAUCCGAGUGGUUUCUGCUAAAGGAACCUUUUGUUAGUCCUAGAAACACUAACGAAUAAGGGGUGGGCAAGUUCUGGUGUCAGCCGCCGCGGUAAAACCAGCACCUCAAGUGGUCAGGAUGAUUAUUGGGCCUAAAGCAUCCGUAGCCGGCUCUGUAAGUUUUCGGUUAAAUCUGUACGCUCAACGUACAGGCUGCCGGGAAUACUGCAGAGCUAGGGAGUGGGAGAGGUAGACGGUACUCGGGAGGAAGGGGUAAAAUCCUUUGAUCUCUCGAUGACCACCUGUGGCGAAGGCGGUCUACCAGAACACGUCCGACGGUGAGGGAUGAAAGCUGGGGGAGCAAACCGGAUUAGAUACCCGGGUAGUCCCAGCUGUAAACUAUGCAAACUCAGUGAUGCAUUGGCUUGUGGCCAAUGCAGUGUUGCAGGGAAGCCGUUAAGUUUGCCGCCUGGGAAGUACGUACGCAAGUAUGAAACUUAAAGGAAUUGGCGGA
RNAcentral lists this ribosomal RNA (787 nucleotides) under uncultured archaeon. Its description in RNAcentral is "bacterial SSU rRNA". It matches the Rfam family "Archaeal small subunit ribosomal RNA", at positions 84 to 872 of the family's 1478-position model. The record is from RNAcentral.